This 148-nucleotide ribosomal RNA is filed under the name uncultured bacterium. RNAcentral's name for it is "partial 16S ribosomal RNA". It matches the Rfam family "Bacterial small subunit ribosomal RNA", at positions 369 to 509 of the family's 1533-position model. The record is from RNAcentral.
CAAUGGGCGCAAGCCUGAACGAGCAAUGCCGCGUGAACGAGGAAGGUCUUCGGAUCGUAAAGUUCUGUUGAAGGGGAAAAAGAGCGGAGAGAGGAAAUGGUCUCCGAUUGAUAUUACCCUUCGAGGAAGUCACGGCUAACUACGUGCC